Molecule: non-coding RNA, 25 nt
Filed under: Cricetulus griseus (Chinese hamster)
Lineage: Eukaryota; Metazoa; Chordata; Mammalia; Rodentia; Cricetidae
Source: RNAcentral
GUGGAUUGUAUGUUGUUGAAGGCAG